RNAcentral lists this ribosomal RNA (1389 nucleotides) under metagenome. RNAcentral's name for it is "bacterial LSU rRNA". It matches the Rfam family "Bacterial large subunit ribosomal RNA", at positions 1554 to 2925 of the family's 2925-position model. The record is from RNAcentral.
CUCUGAGACGUGAUACCGAGCCGCUUCAGGCGAAGUCAUUGAUCCUAUGCUGCCUAGAAAAGCCCAGCAGCGAGUUGACAUGGUGCCCGUACCCCAAACCAACACAGGUGGACAGGUAGAGCAUACCAAGGCGAGUGGGAUAACUAUGGUUAAGGAACUCGGCAAAUUGCCCCCGUAACUUCGGGAGAAGGAGGACCCCAGUAGCGUGAUGAGACUUGCUCUCUGAGCGUGAAGGGGUGGCACAAAAUUGAGGGAAGCGACUGUUUACCAAAAACACAGCAGCGUGCUAAGCCGUAAGGCGCUGUAUACGCUGUGACUCCUGCCCGGUGCUGGAAGGUUACGGGGAUGGGUUAGUCCUUCGGGACGAAGCUCUGAACCUAAGCCCCAGUAAACGGCGGCCGUAACUAUAACGGUCCUAAGGUAGCGAAAUUCCUUGUCGGGUAAGUUCCGACCUGCACGAAUGGAGUAACGACUUCCCUACUGUCUCAACCAUAGACCCAGCGAAAUUGAAGUGCGAGUAAAGAUGCUCGUUAGCUGCAGAAGGACGGAAAGACCCCGUGGACCUUUACUAUAACUUGAUGUUGUGUUUUGUCAUAUGUUGUGUAGGAUAGGUGGGAGACUUGGAAGCAUGGACGCUAGUCUGUGUGGAGUCAUCGUUGAAAUACCACCCUGCAUAUGGUGAGGCUCUAACCUAGACCCGUUAUCCGGGUUGGGGACAGCGUCAGGCGGGUAGUUUAACUGGGGCGGUUGCCUCCUAAAGAGUAACGGAGGCGCCCAAAGGUUCCCUCAGCCUGGUUGGCAAUCAGGCGUUGAGUGCAAUGGCAAAAGGGAGCUUGACUGCGAGACCUACAAGUCGAGCAGGAGCGAAGCUGGGCAUAGUGAUCCGGCGGUUGCGUGUGGAAGCGCCGUCGCUCAACGGAUAAAAGGUACCCCGGGGAUAACAGGCUAAUCUUGCCCAAGCGUCCAUAGCGACGGCAAGGUUUGGCACCACGAUGUCGGCUCAUCGCAUCCUGGGGCUGAAGCAGGUCCCAAGGGCUGGGCUGUUCGCCCAUUAAAGCGGUACGCGAGCUGGGUUCAGAACGUCGUGAGACAGUUCGGUCCCUAUCCUCUGCAGCCGGAGGUGAAUUGAGGAAAGCUGUCCCUAGUACGAGAGGACCGGGACGGACGCAGCUCUCGUGUGCCAGUUGUCCUGCCAAGGGCAUGGCUGGUUAGCGACCUGCGGAAAGGAUAACCGCUGAAAGCAUCUAAGCGGGAAGCCUCUUCCAAGAUGAAUUCACCCACAGGGUUAACCUGGUAAGGCCCGUGGUAGACCACCACGUUGAUAGGCCGGAAGUGUAAGCGUGGCAACACGUUCAGCUGACCGGUACUAAUCGGCCGAGGGCUUGAGCC